UUUAUUGGAGAGUUUGAUCCUGGCUCAGGAUGAACGCUGGCGGCGUGCCUAAUACAUGCAAGUCGAGCGAAUGGAUUGAGAGCUUGCUCUCAAGAAGUUAGCGGCGGACGGGUGAGUAACACGUGGGUAACCUGCCCAUAAGACUGGGAUA
Molecule: ribosomal RNA, 151 nt
Filed under: Bacillus thuringiensis serovar malayensis
Lineage: Bacteria; Bacillati; Bacillota; Bacilli; Caryophanales; Bacillaceae
Description: partial 16S ribosomal RNA
Rfam family: Bacterial small subunit ribosomal RNA
Source: RNAcentral